CCUACGGGAGGCAGCAGUGGGGAAUAUUGCGCAAUGGGCGAAAGCCUGACGCAGCGACGCCGCGUGAGGGAUGAAGGCCUUCGGGUCGUAAACCUCUUUCAGCAGGGAAGAAGCGAAAGUGACGGUACCUGCAGAAGAAGCACCGGCUAACUACGUGCCAGCAGCCGCGGUAAUACGUAGGGUGCAAGCGUUGUCCGGAAUUAUUGGGCGUAAAGAGCUCGUAGGCGGUCUGUCGCGUCUGCUGUGAAAACUCAGGGCUUAACCCUGAGCUUGCAGUGGGUACGGGCAGACUAGAGUGCGGUAGGGGAGACUGGAAUUCCUGGUGUAGCGGUGAAAUGCGCAGAUAUCAGGAGGAACACCGGUGGCGAAGGCGGGUCUCUGGGCCGUAACUGACGCUGAGGAGCGAAAGCAUGGGGAGCGAACAGGAUUAGAUACCCUGGUAGUCCAUGCGUAACGUUAGGUCGCGUAGUGUGGGCGUCAUCCACGAGUUCGUCGCCGCAGCUACGCAUAGCGCCCGCCGUCGGGAGGACGGCCGGCGACGGAACGUAAACGUUAAAGUUAGUUAGUUAGUUACGGCGUGAGACGUUGCCGACGGACGACGACGAGGGAGGAGG
RNAcentral lists this ribosomal RNA (614 nucleotides) under uncultured bacterium. RNAcentral's name for it is "bacterial SSU rRNA". The stretch from base 1 to 519 matches the Rfam family "Bacterial small subunit ribosomal RNA", at positions 338 to 873 of the family's 1533-position model. The record is from RNAcentral.